GACGGUAGCUCAGUCGGUAGAGCAUCUGCCUUUUAAGCAGGGGGUCCCGGGUUCAAGCCCCGGCCGUC
Molecule: transfer RNA, 68 nt
Filed under: marine eukaryotic metagenome
Rfam family: tRNA
About the family: Transfer RNA (tRNA) molecules are approximately 80 nucleotides in length.
Source: RNAcentral